CCUACGGGCGGCUGCAGUGGGGAAUAUUGGACAAUGGGGGCAACCCUGAUCCAGCCAUGCCGCGUGUGUGAAGAAGGCCCUCGGGUUGGAAAGCACUUUCAGUGAGGAAGAACGCCUGGUGGUUAAUACCCAUCAGGAAAGACAUCACUCACAGAAGAAGCACCGGCUAACUCCGUGCCAGCAGCCGCGGUAAUACGGAGGGUGCGAGCGUUAAUCGGAAUUACUGGGCGUAAAGCGCGCGUAGGUGGCUUGAUAAGCCGGUUGUGAAAGCCCCGGGCUCAACCUGGGAACGGCAUCCGGAACUGUCAAGCUAGAGUGCAGGAGAGGAAGGUAGAAUUCCCGGUGUAGCGGUGAAAUGCGUAGAGAUCGGGAGGAAUACCAGUGGCGAAGGCGGCCUUCUGGACUGACACUGACACUGAGGUGCGAAAGCGUGGGUAGCAAACAGGAUUAGAUACCCCAGUAGUC
Molecule: ribosomal RNA, 465 nt
Filed under: Vreelandella stevensii
Lineage: Bacteria; Pseudomonadati; Pseudomonadota; Gammaproteobacteria; Oceanospirillales; Halomonadaceae
Description: partial 16S ribosomal RNA
Rfam family: Bacterial small subunit ribosomal RNA
Source: RNAcentral